This 1300-nucleotide unclassified non-coding RNA is filed under the name Bombus terrestris (buff-tailed bumblebee). Its description in RNAcentral is "misc RNA ENSBTSG00005036354.1". The record is from RNAcentral. Lineage: Eukaryota; Metazoa; Arthropoda; Insecta; Hymenoptera; Apidae.
AAUAGAAAGAAAAAUAUUCUGAUAUUUUACAAUGCAGAUGACUUCUUGAACAACUUUAGGAAAUUUAUAUCCAUGGAGAUCUUUUAUAGCUUCCAUAAACAGUUUAUCAAGAAAUUUUGACGAGCGACCAUAAAAUAAUUUUAUUAAAUAAUUAAAUAAUUUUGCUCGAAUCUUUCCAGUUUGCCAAGAAAUUUUGAUGAAUAGCUAUAACUAUCGAACCACCCUGUAGAUGCAUUAUUCGCCAUGGAAAGGUCUACUUCUCCAAAUGAACUUUCCCUCGAACAAUAGUAUCGAACAAAGGGGACUACGAAACAGUUCUGGAAACGGGUUUUUACUUGGUUUGCAACCUUGCUCCGCUUUGAUUCUUCGAUCGCCUCCCUCUUUUAUUCGACACGUCAGAGGCUGCCUCAAUGAUUCAUCCACCUCACGCCUCUUCUACCCUCCCCUUGGAAAGGGCGAGUCGACACGCGACAUCACGUAUCAUUUCUUUAUCCACAAGUAUUCAACGAUAAUUUCAUUCACUGUUAAAUAAUUUUUAUUAUUUAUACAUAUACCUAUAUGUAGAAGUACAUAUACAGUGGUUGUAAGAAGUAUUUAUACAUCAUUAAUAUAUAUUAUACUAUAUAAUAAAUAAAUACUAUUAUACUAUAUAUUAUAGUAUUUAUUAUAGUAUUAAAUAUUUAUUGCAGCAUUCACAUGCUAAUUAAUUAGGUCCAAGUACGUUAAAUCUCGUACUAUUCGGUAUUAUUUUCACAUGACUAUAAAAAUUUGAUACCAUGAAAGCAAAACGCAUAGAAUUUGGUAAAAAGACGCUUCAUUAGAAAAUAAGGGUAUGUUCAAAUAAUUUUUGCAGCCACUAUAUAUUCAUGUAUAUAUCUAGUUCGCGUUAUCACAUAUUUUUGUGUACGACGAAUAAGCCGCGCAAUUAACGAUUCUUUCCUUUCGAGACUUUCUCGAGCAAUUCGUUUUCUUAACAAGCACCCCACCCGGGUUUGCACCGGGUAAAAACGGACGACAAUUUUUCGCGGAUCGAAAGGAAUUCUGACGAGAGACGAGGUUUCUCCCUUUCUCUCCUUAUCCACCUCUCUUCACUACCACGAGAGCCUCUCUAUACCUUGUGUACAACACACACGAUCUUCGUGAACACGCGCGCGGUCGUGUGUUGCCGUGCGUUACAACGUGGAUGACUCCUCCACGGCGUGGAUGAAACGACUCACUCGACUUGCUCACUUUCCUCGCCGCGAUGAAAGUGUGCUACUACUGAUCAGGAACGCGCACUCUCCCUGUUCGUUUCACGGAC